This is a small nuclear RNA of Dermacentor silvarum, 108 nucleotides long. NCBI's taxonomy places the organism in Eukaryota, Metazoa, Arthropoda, Arachnida, Ixodida, Ixodidae. The record is from RefSeq and is a predicted model, not a curated record.
GCAUUUCGCCUCCAAAGUACAUACACUAAAAUUGGAACCAUACAGAGAAGAUUAGCAUGGCCCCUGCGCAAGGAAGAGCAUCGCACGCGUAAUGCGAAGACGUGGGAU